Molecule: ribosomal RNA, 1486 nt
Filed under: unidentified
Also listed under: 1 other name
Description: bacterial SSU rRNA
Rfam family: Bacterial small subunit ribosomal RNA
Source: RNAcentral
AGAGUUUGAUCCUGGCUCAGGAUAAACGCUGGCGGCGCACAUAAGACAUGCAAGUCGAACGGACUUAACUCAUUCUUUUAGUUUGAGAGCGGUUAGUGGCGGACUGGUGAGUAACACGUAAGCAACCUGCCUAUUAGAGGGGAAUAACAGUGAGAAAUCAUUGCUAAUACCGCAUAUGCUGACAGUAUCACAUGAUACAGUCAGGAAAGGAGCAAUCCGCUAAUAGAUGGGCUUGCGUCUGAUUAGUUAGUUGGUGGGGUAACGGCCUACCAAGACUACGAUCAGUAGCCGGACUGAGAGGUUGAACGGCCACAUUGGGACUGAGAUACGGCCCAGACUCCUACGGGAGGCAGCAGUCGGGAAUAUUGCGCAAUGGAGGAAACUCUGACGCAGUGACGCCGCGUAUAGGAAGAAGGUUUUCGGAUUGUAAACUAUUGUCGUUAGGGAAGAUAAAAGACUGUACCUAAGGAGGAAGCCCCGGCUAACUAUGUGCCAGCAGCCGCGGUAAUACAUAGGGGGCAAGCGUUAUCCGGAAUUAUUGGGUGUAAAGGGUGCGUAGACGGAGAAACAAGUUGGUUGUGAAAUCCCUCGGCUCAACUGAGGAACUGCAACCAAAACUAUUUCCCUUGAGUGUCGGAGAGGAAAGUGGAAUUCCUAGUGUAGCGGUGAAAUGCGUAGAUAUUAGGAGGAACACCAGUGGCGAAGGCGACUUUCUGGACGAUAACUGACGUUGAGGCACGAAAGUGUGGGGAGCAAACAGGAUUAGAUACCCUGGUAGUCCACACUGUAAACGAUGGAUACUAGGUGUAGGGUGUAUUAAGCACUCUGUGCCGCCGCUAACGCAUUAAGUAUCCCACCUGGGGAGUACGACCGCAAGGUUGAAACUCAAAGGAAUUGACGGGGGCCCGCACAAGCAGUGGAGUAUGUGGUUUAAUUCGAAGCAACGCGAAGAACCUUACCAGGGCUUGACAUAUACAGGAAUAUGCUAGAGAUAGUAUAGCUCUUCGGAGUCUGUAUACAGGUGGUGCAUGGUUGUCGUCAGCUCGUGUCGUGAGAUGUUGGGUUAAGUCCCGCAACGAGCGCAACCCCUAUCGUUAGUUGCUAGCAGGUAAUGCUGAGAACUCUAGCGAGACUGCCGGUGAUAAAUCGGAGGAAGGUGGGGAUGACGUCAAAUCAUCAUGCCCUUUAUGUCCUGGGCUACACACGUACUACAAUGGCCGUAACAGAGGGAAGCAAAAUAGUGAUAUGGAGCAAAACCCUAAAAGCGGUCUCAGUUCGGAUUGAAGGCUGAAAUUCGCCUUCAUGAAGCUGGAAUUGCUAGUAAUGGCAGGUCAGCAUACUGCCGUGAAUACGUUCCCGGGCCUUGUACACACCGCCCGUCACACCAUGAGAGUUGGAAAUACCCGAAGCCUGUGAGCUAACUGUAAAGAGGCAGCAGUCGAAGGUAGAGCCAAUGAUUGGGGUGAAGUCGUAACAAGGUAACCAA